Small nuclear RNA from Cercocebus atys (sooty mangabey), 109 nucleotides. The record is from Ensembl. Lineage: Eukaryota; Metazoa; Chordata; Mammalia; Primates; Cercopithecidae.
GUGCUUGCUUUGGCAGCACAUAUAUACUAAAAUUGGGAUGAUACAGAGAAGCUGAGCAUGGCCUCUGCACAAGGAUGACACGCAAAUUCGUGAAGCGUUCCAUAUUUUU